GGUUUGUGCGAUGUUUAAAUUGAAUUAUUUCAUUAAAAUAUUACUAAAUAUUAUGAAUAUAUUAUGUGGAUUUACAGUUAAAGGAGGGCAGAGUUGAAAUAUUUCUUGGGGGGGCACCAUUUGCAUAUUUUUACAUACAUAUGGUUUAAUGUCGGAUGAGAAAAUAGAACACUCUCAAAUAGUACCACACACAAUAUUGAUUAAAUGAAAGGUGUUGUAGUGUGAAUGAUCCAUGUGCUCUGUAAGUGUGGGUUUUAACAGCUUUCUAACAUUGAAACUAAUUUAAACCCUUGUAUUUUUUAAGAAAUUAUCAACGAAGUUGAUUUCAAGUAAGUUGUUGGAAAUAUAAAGUUCAAAACUACACCAACUGC
RNAcentral lists this long non-coding RNA (371 nucleotides) under Mytilus galloprovincialis (Mediterranean mussel). Lineage: Eukaryota; Metazoa; Mollusca; Bivalvia; Mytilida; Mytilidae. The record is from RNAcentral.